Molecule: long non-coding RNA, 1736 nt
Organism: Megalobrama amblycephala (Wuchang bream)
Lineage: Eukaryota; Metazoa; Chordata; Actinopteri; Cypriniformes; Xenocyprididae
Exons: 2
Source: RefSeq, a predicted model, not a curated record
GUUGGUAAGGAUGUCAGAGUGUAGUUUGCAUGUGUUUACUUAAAAUUUAAUGUGUGUAAUUAGUUUGAAAGAAAUUAUAUUGUACUGGCAAUCAAAAAUCCCACUCCAUGUAUGAGUCACACCCUUGGCAGGGUCAUAGGGCCAUGUGAAAACUAUGAAAAAGGUCAAAGAAGGUUAAUGAGCUUUGAGGUUUUUCUUUUUCACCCAAACACGCAUCUUAACCCUUGAUUGCGCUUUUUCACUUGUUAUUGUUUUUGUACGGAGAUAAAAGGUGCACUUGAAUUUGAAGUAGAAGUUCAGAAGCCCCUAAACACAUUGUUUUAGUUUUCACCACAAGAAAAUGCUGAUUGUUUAGUCUGGUAGAUUUUAUACAAAGUUUGAGUUCACACAGAUGUUCUCACAGCCGAACCUAUGAAUAUGUGCUGCUUGAGGGGUUGAUCAUUUCAUUGUUUGCAAGAUGAAGAGAAGUUACUCAGCAGAGGAAGCUCUGAAGCUAGAGGAUGAAGAGUUGAGCUCAGAGGAUGACGUUGAGUUUGAGCUGGAGUCUGACCCCUCUGAUAGCUCUUUUCUUCUGAUGAAAGCACUGAGAGUGAGCACAUGGAGGAUACAGCACAUUCUCAGUGGAAUUCAAAAAAUGGCCAGAUUGUUUGAUCAUUUUCCGAGCCACCAUGUCCCACCGUAAAUUCAGGCUCCUGAGCUCCACCAUGAGGUUUGAUGACAAGCUGACAUGAACUGCACGUCACAGGGUCGACAAGCUGGCUGCAUUUCGGACUAUCUGGGAGAAGUGGACAGAUCGCCUUCCAAUGCUGUUCAACCCAGGCUAGGAUGUCUGUGUGGAUGAGCAGCUGGUCCCUUUCAGAGGCUGAUGUGGAUUUCGCCAGUACAUCCCUAGCAAGCCUGCCAAGUAUGGCAUAAAGGUUUGGGUCACUUGUGACGUCAAAACAUCCUAUGCAUGGAAGAUGCAAAUAUACACAGGGAAGUCUCCUGGAAGUCCUACGGAAGUGAACCAGGGAAAAAGGGUUGUCCUGGACAUGACGGAGGGGCUCCAGGGAAACACUGUGACCUGCGGCAAUUUUUUCACUUCUUAUGCACUGGCUGAAGAACAUCUAAAGAGGAAGAUGGCCCUAGUUGGUACAAUUCGUGCUGCUCCUUAGCACCAAGUAUCGAGAGCCGGCUGUGAGUGACACAGAAAAAAAGAAGCCAGUGAUCAUCAUAGACUACAACCGCUGCAAAGGAGGUGUCGACAACCUGGACAAGGUUGUUGGCACCUACAGCUGUAGGAGAAGUACAUGUCGGUGGCCAGUGGUUCUCUUCUACAACCUUGUUGAUGUCUCAACCUUCAACUCUUUUGUACUGUGGACGGCGGUGGACCCCUCCUGGAACCAGGGCAAAACAUUCAGAUGGUGGCUGUUUCUCGAGGAACUGGGGAAGAUGUUGGUAAUGCCACAAAUAUCAUGAAGACAGCGGAUCCCCUGCCAACCUUCUGCCUCCACCAUGGUGGAGGAUCAACAGUAGGAAAACCCAAACACCCGCAAGAGAAAGUUCUGCAAGUUCUGCACUGACAAAAAGAAAAAAGUUGCCUCCAUCUGCAAGAAGUCCAUACACUGACAUACUGCACCUCCUGCUGUGAAUUCCCUCUCACUCAGUUCAUCAUCUCUAUUCAUAUUCCUGUUCAUAUACCUGUGGUUUCUGUACUCUGUGUUCUUGGGUUUUGAACAAUAAAUCUUGUUUUUGUU